CUUGAAUAUAUGUAGAUCUGUGAUUUGCUAUUUUUGUGACUUUUGUCUUGUGUCAACUUGUGUCGGCAACUGAUCAUAAUCAUAGAUGCGAACUGGAAAUCAUUCCAAAAUUCUGUCACGAGACGCCAAAAGGUAAUAUUAAUAUCGAAUAAAGAAAUAAAUCAACGCAUCCGUAAUCAUAAUUAACAGACAACAACUAAAUCAAAAAUGACUUUUUGAUUUUCUC
RNAcentral lists this long non-coding RNA (226 nucleotides) under Mytilus galloprovincialis (Mediterranean mussel). Lineage: Eukaryota; Metazoa; Mollusca; Bivalvia; Mytilida; Mytilidae. The record is from RNAcentral.